UACGUAGGGUCCGAGCGUUGUCCGGAAUUGCUGGGCGUAAAGAGCUCGUAGGUGGUUUGUCGCGUUGUUCGUGAAAACUCACAGCUCAACUGUGGGCGUGCGGGCGAUACGGGCAGACUUGAGUACUGCAGGGGAGACUGGAAUUCCUGGUGUAGCGGUGGAAUGCGCAGAUAUCAGGAGGAACACCGGUGGCGAAGGCGGGUCUCUGGGCAGUAACUGACGCUGAGGAGCGAAAGCGUGGGGAGCGAACAGG
This 253-nucleotide ribosomal RNA is filed under the name uncultured bacterium. RNAcentral's name for it is "partial 16S ribosomal RNA". It matches the Rfam family "Bacterial small subunit ribosomal RNA", at positions 524 to 776 of the family's 1533-position model. The record is from RNAcentral.